AUGGGUUUCAAAGAUCUCCCACUUUUCAAUCUAGCGAUGCUUGGCAAACAAGGGUGGCGCCUCUUGACACAUCCACAAUCUCUUUGUGCUCGUGUGUUAAAGGGGAAGUACUACCCUAACACAGAUUUUCUUCAUGCUACUGUUCCGGCGAGGGCCUCGGCGACGUGGAAGGCCAUUGUAGCGGGCAGAGAGGCAUUGAAGUAG
This 204-nucleotide ribosomal RNA is filed under the name Triticum aestivum (bread wheat). RNAcentral's name for it is "partial small subunit ribosomal RNA". Lineage: Eukaryota; Viridiplantae; Streptophyta; Magnoliopsida; Poales; Poaceae. The record is from RNAcentral.